Molecule: ribosomal RNA, 253 nt
Filed under: uncultured bacterium
Lineage: Bacteria
Description: partial 16S ribosomal RNA
Rfam family: Bacterial small subunit ribosomal RNA
Source: RNAcentral
UACGUAGGUGGCAAGCGUUGUCCGGAAUUAUUGGGCGUAAAGCGCGCGCAGGCGGCCUUUUAAGUCUGAUGUGAAAGCCCCCGGCUCAACCGGGGAGGGUCAUUGGAAACUGGAAGGCUUGAGUGCAGAAGAGAAGAGCGGAAUUCCACGUGUAGCGGUGAAAUGCGUAGAGAUGUGGAGGAACACCAGUAGCGAAGGCGGCUCUUUGGUCUGUAACUGACGCUGAGGCGCGAAAGCGUGGGGAGCAAACAGG